Molecule: ribosomal RNA, 253 nt
Filed under: uncultured bacterium
Lineage: Bacteria
Description: partial 16S ribosomal RNA
Rfam family: Bacterial small subunit ribosomal RNA
Source: RNAcentral
UACGUAGGUGGCAAGCGUUAUCCGGAUUUACUGGGCGUAAAGAGGGAGCAGGUGGUUCUGUAAGUCAGUGGUUAAAUACCGGAGCUCAACUCCGUGUGUGCCAUUGAAACUGCAGGACUAGAGAAUAAGAGAGGUUAGUGGAAUUUCAUGUGUAGCGGUGGAAUGCGUAGAUAUAUGAAGGAACACCAGUGGCGAAGGCGACUAACUGGCUUAUUUCUGACACUCAGUCCCGAAAGCGUGGGUAGCAAAUAGG